CGGAAGCUUGCUUUUGAUGGGCGUCGACCGGCGCACGGGUGAGUAACGCGUAUCCAUCCUGCCCACCACUUGGGGAUAACCUUGCGAAAGUAAGACUAUUACCCAAUGAUAUCUCUAGAAGACAUCUGAAAGAGAUUAAAGAUUUAUCGGUGAUGGAUGGGGAUGCGUCUGAUUAGCUUGUUGGCGGGGUAACGGCCCACCAAGGCAACGAUCAGUAGGGGUUCUGAGAGGAAGGUCCCCCACAUUGGAACUGAGACACGGUCCAAACUCCUACGGGAGGCAGCAGUGAGGAAUAUUGGUCAAUGGACGAGAGUCUGAACCAGCCAAGUAGCGUGCAGGAAGACGGCCCUAUGGGUUGUAAACUGCUUUUAUAAGGGAAUAAAGUGAGAGUCGUGACUCUUUUUGCAUGUACCUUAUGAAUAAGGACCGGCUAAUUCCGUGCCAGCAGCCGCGGUAAUACGGAAGGUCCGGGCGUUAUCCGGAUUUAUUGGGUUUAAAGGGAGCGUAGGCCGGAGAUUAAGCGUGUUGUGAAAUGUAGACGCUCAACGUCUGCACUGCAGCGCGAACUGGUUUCCUUGAGUACGCACAAAGUGGGCGGAAUUCGUGGUGUAGCGGUGAAAUGCUUAGAUAUCACGAAGAACUCCGAUUG
This 649-nucleotide ribosomal RNA is filed under the name uncultured Prevotella sp. RNAcentral describes it as "bacterial SSU rRNA". It matches the Rfam family "Bacterial small subunit ribosomal RNA", at positions 67 to 715 of the family's 1533-position model. Lineage: Bacteria; Pseudomonadati; Bacteroidota; Bacteroidia; Bacteroidales; Prevotellaceae. The record is from RNAcentral.